RNAcentral lists this transfer RNA (63 nucleotides) under Cherax setosus. RNAcentral's name for it is "tRNA-Cys". The record is from RNAcentral. Lineage: Eukaryota; Metazoa; Arthropoda; Malacostraca; Decapoda; Parastacidae.
GGCUUUAUAGUGGAAAAAAGACGUCAAAUUGCAAGUUUGAAGAUGUAAUGGUUACUAAAGCUU